Long non-coding RNA from Ixodes scapularis (black-legged tick), 917 nucleotides. RefSeq lists it as uncharacterized. The record is from RefSeq and is a predicted model, not a curated record. The transcript has 5 exons. Lineage: Eukaryota; Metazoa; Arthropoda; Arachnida; Ixodida; Ixodidae.
AUGGGUGAAUCAACGCUUGCAAUUCGCAGAGAGGUCGUAUAUGACGUCAGGGUGACUGGGGUCAGCGAUCUUCAAGGACCCAACGAAAGGAACCGGUUCGGAAUCCUUGUCAAGUUCGCCUCGGAUGUCCAGCAAUUCAUCCACUACGAGCCCGUGUUCACGUCGGUGGAGGUAUUGGGCUACCUGAGCGGUUACCUGGGCAUCUGGCUGGGUCUCUGCUUCGCCACCGUCUCGCUCGAGGCUCAGUCCAGGCUCACGGAUCUCUGCUCCCGAGGUCAACCUUCUGCUUGGAGUAGGGACAUGUUGCGACGGUGGAUGCACUUCAAGGCCGAAGUUUUGCGCCGCGAAGGACUUAUCCGCCGCAGACGCUGGGCCGCAGCGGUGUUGCCUUUUCCGAACUGAAUGGGGCAUCUGAUAACAACCCUGCGCUCCAAGCACCCUGAACACCAUCUUUAGCCAAUAGCAUUUCGUUGUCUCACUGAGAGCUUCUGCAUAGUCCUAUUCACAAAAGUAACGAAGAAAACUUUUUUUAAACGAUUUUAAACACGUUUUUGGGAAGUGAAACAACAUAUAGUUUAUUUAUUUUCCCAGUAAAUUUAGCAGGAAAAUUCACGUCACGGUUUUAAGUCGCUGUGUCACAUGAUCCCAAUUUCUCCGCUAAAUUGAGCGGAAAAAUCGACGUCAGGCGACAUGAUCACCUGACGUGACAUUAGGGGGUCAAUUCGUGGCGACACGUGGUACCCCGAUGUCACGUGACGUCGCUUUCCCCGAUAAAUUUAGCGAGGACAUUUCUGAAAUGAUAAGGGGUUGUUCCGAACAACCUGUUCUGAAUGGCGUUUAUGUGAAUGGCAAUAGUGCCAUUCACACUUACCCGAUGACGUCUUCAACUUCGUGACACGCAUUGACUUUUCCGUCGU